Molecule: long non-coding RNA, 866 nt
Organism: Oryzias melastigma (Indian medaka)
Lineage: Eukaryota; Metazoa; Chordata; Actinopteri; Beloniformes; Adrianichthyidae
Exons: 3
Source: RefSeq, a predicted model, not a curated record
GGAGAACUGCGGUGGUGGAUUUGCUGCAGCAUUGCAGUGGCGUUUAAAGCUCGAGUAUGGCAGCAAAGGAGCGGCUGGUGGACCGAGCUGUGGUCAAAUCUUUCUUUGCCGUUCCUCUCUGAUAACAUGAACAUCACACAGGUGAGCAAGGUGACAAAUCAGUGAGGACGGCAGCUGCAGUCCAAAGAGAAUGGAUAUUUCUCCAACACAGCUCCCUCCAGGAAGAGUCUGUGGUGCAAGCUCCACCCCCAGACUAUACCGAAACCAUACCCACUUUCUCCGUGGAGCUGUGGUGCCGGGGUAGUUAUCCCCCCCCAGAAUGUGUAUCCUGGCUGAGGAUAACUACCUUGGCACCACACCUGUACCAGGAACUCCUCUGACCCAUCUUUCGAGGUCGUCUCCGUUAGUAUCCAAUCAGAUUGAACUUCGGUUCGCUCUGAGAUUCCUCAGUCUGAAUAUGAAACGAACCGAGAGUGAAACAACUGAACCACAACGCCCACCGUAUCAGUGCGUUCAUAAGUGAAGCUAGAUUUGAUGACAGACAAGCUUCAAAGAAUUUCUUGUGGGAUCCUUUAUUUUCCCUGUUUGGCAGUUUUUAGAAAAAAAAAUAAUAAAUUGACAAUUAAACUUAACAAGUGCAGAAAAAGACUAUGCCAGGGGCACCUAAAUAGACAAAUAAAACAAAAAUGUAAUUUCACCGCUUCAUUUCUUUACAAUCAUUUUUCCAAAGUUCCAUUUUAAAUAAAGUUUUGAACCGAUCUAAGAAACAUUUUACACAAUACAAUGAAUUCAAGUAAAGAAAUGGACAAAUGCCCCUGAAGCCUACAGAAGCAAUGUUCUCAAAUUUCACUGUUAAAGACACCCAU